AAUCGAAUCACACUGAACAAGCAAGAAUUAGAUGCAAGACGAGAAUCGAUUAUACUGAUCUAUCGAACGUUUGGUGGCAAACUUCGGUUCCUUCUUGAAUAGAUAUACAUAACCUGCCAAACAUCAGACAACUGUUUUAGAUAGGCUAGUUUUAGAUAGAUGUUCAUCGUAUCGGAUAUACAUCGACUAUGAAAAUAGGAACAUUAAAAGUUCUAGAAUUUCACGAAGAUUCAUGGCUGUUGCAGACAACUGUGUCUAAGUCGUAGGAUACGGCAGCUGAAAUUUUAUGCGAUCGCGUGAUCACACCUUCUCCACGAGUUUUCACGAGUCUUGACUCGAAUGCAACGGAAUGUCUAAAUAUAUAAUAAUCAAAAAAUGUUUCUCGUGAUGAACGAGAAAGUAGAAGUGCCAAAAGCAGCGAGCUGAAUCGGAAGUUAAGUAGUUAACGAUUAUUUUCCAUGGUUCUUAAGCAUUAACAAACGAGGAAAAAAUUCCCAUACCAACCACUGUAUCGUGUUUACAGGUACUGGGCCAACGUGAACGUAUUGUAGCCAAGUAUACGUUAUGGAGGACCACAGGCAGUAUAACACAUAAAACGGGCGCAUAAACGAGAUGCUAUCGGAGUUGGAGGAGGUUCCGCGUAAUCUAUCCAAUUAUCGUUCGAUCAGAGCUGUAUCCGUGAUUGUUGGGACCCCCAGCCACCGAGAGAAACUUGACUGCGAUGAAGAGCAUAAGGGAUAUCUGUACAGAAGGUUCCUAUCCAAUACUCUAUUACAAAUCGAAUAAUAUCGAGAAAAGCAAAGCAAGCAUUUUAGACAGAAAAUAAAAAUUACAAUAAAACAUUGUAAUAACACUACUAAUAAUAAUUAACCAGUAACCAAUGCAAUUCUAUCUUUAAAAACAAUGAAUAAAUGUUCUGGUUCAACAUAUCCACUCGUCGCCAUCCAGCUAGUUAUCAACGAUUUAUUAGUUAUCGAGCGUAGAACCACUUGCUUCUUCAUCGAACUCGAUUCACGGUUCGGUUUCGCAGGGUGGGGUCACCGAAGGUUGCGCAACUCGUGGCUAUUGCGCGGCGGUGCUGCCUUCCACACGAUUGCCACUUUAAGUGCGCCAUAAUGGCAGUGGGCUCGCUAAGAAGAACGCGAUCUUAAGAAACGGCUCACGGUGCCUUAGCACAGGGCUCGCCGUCCGUCUCGGUUUCGCUCGCUCUCUCGUAAGGCUAGCCGUCUCGAUCGCUCAGGGCCCCGCGGAUGCGGAUCGCCGUUGGGCCUUUCACUGGGGCCUGCGGGCUACAGGUCGCGACCUCAACGUGGUCCACUCCCUCUUCCCUUCCCGCCUCUUCGUUCUUUCUCCUCCUGUUUCUUUCGACUCCUUCGCCGCUCUCCAUCCUUCUCCUUCUUCCCUCCACCUCCAUCCCUGCUUCCUUUUCUUUUUCUCCAAACAUUUUUACCUCCCUUCUCUCUUACCUUUGUGCUUUACCUAACCCGGCUCCCUUUGCCUACUCGCUCUUCUCCGUCUCUUCACUCCACCGCCGUCUUGUUGCCACUCUCCUCUCGUCCCCGUUGUCCAAGGUACCCCGAGUCGUCUAUUCUUAGUCACUCUCGUUAAGCGAACCCAACACGGUGAUCAAUGGGAGUUUCCAACGGCUUAACUUCAUCCGCUGGAUAGAUGCAUCUCUGGCCGGAUAGAUUUGGGUUAUCGCCGGUCGGGAUGUUCGAUCGAAGGUUGACAACGUGAAAACGGAUUCCUCUCUACCUUCCUUGGGAAUGUAGGAGAAGACGAUGCGCUCCGCUCGUGAUAUCGACGUAGGUUCGCGACGUUCCCGCGAGAAGAAGCGGCUUGCCCUGAUUUUCGAGUCGAGCGCAUACGUACAUCGGCCGACUCGUGAUCACGACCUCAGCGAUCGGAAGAGCUUAAUCAUGUCCCGCGAACGUUGUAUAUACGGCGUGUACGCGACGAGUGGUAUAACUUGAUGGAGAGAGAAGAAUCGUUUAUUCAUUUCAAUAUAAUUACCCUGAAUAUCCAGUCGUGAUAAAUACUUUCAAGAGGAGCUUGCUAUAAUUUCACUCUCAAGUGGACACGUACCUUUCGACCGCAAUUUGUUCAAAUAAUUCGAAAGCAUCGGAUAUAUUAAUUUCACGCGGGUGAAGGGUACCCCGCGGUAAUUUUCAAAUUACAAGUUGGCCGCAGGCGAAGUACAGACCGUGGCCGUUCAGCCGCACUGGCCUUUAAGACAUUGUCUAAAUAAUAGUCUAAUGGAUAAGGUAUUCCAGGGCUGGGACCAGGCCGAUGGUGCCGCUUCCAAGAGUUGCUGCAUUGUGGUUACGCCAGUGUUUUAGAGGUUCUGGAAGUGGGUGCUCGGGCCGUUUUCUCCGGCAAACUGCCUCGUCUCUGGAUCCCCGGCUUGCACUUCAUUGGCCGCUCAACGGUCGUUGCUAACCCGGUUCUUGAAGAUUCAUCCCCGUGUGUCUCGUGCCGACGUGGCCUGAGCUCUUAUGGUUCCUGAACGCGAGGUACUCGACUGAUCAUCCUCCGACGGAAGUUCUUGGAUGGACGACUUCUUCGAUGGAAAAAAAGUGUUCGAAAAGGUUAAUCUCAUUACGAGACCCUUGGGAUCGAGAUGUGGGGAUCGGGAAGAUUUCUCAACACGAGGAAGCUUUGAUGUCGGAAGAAUUGACACUGGUUAUCGCCGGUGAAGCAAAUAAUCAUCUCGACGAUGCUCUUUCGAAAAGAAGCAUAGAACCUAUAUCUAUAGCGAAGAAGCGCGGUAACGACGAGUGGAGAUCAUAACAGUUACCUUCCAGGAAUCAAUUGGAUCGCGAUGCUGAACAGUUAUACCAAUGCCAUUCCCUGUCCUAGACAAUCGUGCUUGACAGUUGCAGUACAAGGAUCGGCAAAGAAGCUUUCUCAACCACGAUCCUUCGCCGAAAGAAAUUCUCUAAUUAAAAACUCUGAACAAGAAGAGGAACAACUUACAGAGUUCGUUCACCCGUGUAUCUCGAAAUGGACGAAAGUUUCACCUCGGAGUGGAAGUUGUAUAAAUUGUCCUUGAGACGAAUGAACCGUCACGUCCAUUUUUGCCGAUAACACUUUUCGUGCGUUUCUGACGUAAACGAUUGUUACACAUCCGGAUUUAUCUAGAUUUACAAAGCAGCAUCAUAAAAUAAAUUGUCAACACAAUUCUUUCUCGAAUCGUUAUAAUAUCUGUCGCACGAUGUUGCUCAUUAAUUCUGUUAAUUUGUGGCGUAAUCGAAUGAGAAUCUGGGAAUUCUUAUCUUCUUCUUGGAUAAUGUUUCACGUAUAUCAUAGCGCUUACUCUUUCUGCCUAUGAAUGGAUUCAGAAGGAGAUGAAUUGCGUAAUGAUA
Molecule: long non-coding RNA, 3365 nt
Organism: Apis dorsata (giant honeybee)
Lineage: Eukaryota; Metazoa; Arthropoda; Insecta; Hymenoptera; Apidae
Exons: 9
Source: RefSeq, a predicted model, not a curated record